GCCGGGCCGGGGGCACCGGGGAGUGCUGCGCCGGGCUCGGAGCAAAGAACAUCCCAAACUGCCUCCUCACCCUCAUGGACAGCAGGAAUGUCUUCCAUAGCUCCUGCUGAGGAAUGGCAGUGGCUGUGGGGAGCUCUGGCAGGAGCACCUGGAGAGCAGGGAGAGAUGGUGGAAUCAUCCGGG
Onychostruthus taczanowskii (white-rumped snowfinch) is the source of this 183-nucleotide long non-coding RNA. RefSeq lists it as uncharacterized. The transcript has 3 exons. Lineage: Eukaryota; Metazoa; Chordata; Aves; Passeriformes; Passeridae. The record is from RefSeq and is a predicted model, not a curated record.